Molecule: ribosomal RNA, 440 nt
Filed under: uncultured bacterium
Lineage: Bacteria
Description: partial 16S ribosomal RNA
Rfam family: Bacterial small subunit ribosomal RNA
Source: RNAcentral
CCUACGGGAGGCAGCAGUGGGGAAUAUUGCACAAUGGGGGAAACCCUGAUGCAGCGACGCCGCGUGAGUGAAGAAGUAACUCGGUAUGUAAAGCUCUAUCAGCAGGGAAGAAAAUGACGGUACCUGAGUAAGAAGCCCCGGCUAACUACGUGCCAGCAGCCGCGGUAAUACGUAGGGGGCAAGCGUUAUCCGGAUUUACUGGGUGUAAAGGGAGCGUAGACGGCAGUGCAAGUCUGGAGUGAAAGGCGGGGGCUCAACCCCCGGACUGCUCUGGAAACUGUACGGCUGGAGUGCAGGAGAGGUAAGUGGAAUUCCUGGUGUAGCGGGGAAAUGCGUAGAUAUUAGGAGGAACACCAGUGGCGAAGGCGGCUUACUGGACUGUAACUGACGUUGAGGCUCGAAAGCGUGGGGAGCAAACAGGAUUAGAUACCCUUGUAGUC